AGUAACUAUGGUUUUCCUUUCUCAUUUCAAUUGCCACCUCAAUUGACUGAAAUGUGAACACCAACUCCCGCACUUAAACGUUGAAGCCCUAACACCUACUGUGAUGAUUUAUGCAGCUGGGGCCUUUGAGAGAUUUGUACUACAGUCAGAACAAACAAAUCACUGGAUCCAGCAGAAGCCUUAGAUAUAUGACAUAACAGAGAUUUGCACAAAGAUUUGCCCCAUUGCCUUCUCGAAUUUCUCUUAUCAUCAAUCCAUCUAGCUGGAGCUCUCUGAAGGUCAUCAGAGGGUCUAGGGCUUUGGGAGGACAAGGCUGCAGGCAGCCGAGAUUGUGCCGCUGCACUCCAUCCUGGGCGACAGAGACAAACUGGAAACACAGGUUAUAUCACCAAGGCUUUGACUGAAACAUCAUGUUUUCAGAUAUGACCAGAAGGCUUUAGGGGACUAAAGUUGGCUUUAUGGAACCAAUAAAGUACCAUCUUGGAAAAACUGGCUCUAGGGUUCCCAGACUUACAGUUCUGUUUCAUCAAAUGGAAAUGGGACAUGGACAGUUUCUCCUAUCCCAUGCAGACCAUGCUCCUGAAUUAAAACUGCAGAAUGUGUUAAAGCAUCAUUCAACAUCGUGAGCACAUUUGAGAUACUGUACAGGACAACCUGCUUUUCAUAUUCUCUGUGAAUUUCAAAGACGACUGGGAUUUUCUUCCUCCUCUACCACCCUGAACAGCAAGACCAAUACAUCCUGUAUUUCCUCCUCUUCAGCCUACUUGUGAAGACAAGGAUGAAGACCUCCAUGAUGAGCCAUCUCCACUUAAUGACUGUCUCACAUUGGCCGGCAACUUGUUCCAGUUUGUGUCUUCCAGAUUACAAUAAUUCCAUGUAAAGAUGAUGCUGGCACAAGGCUUUCAACCCAUCCCCUCUUCUGACCCAGAAGAUAAAGACAUCCUACCUUUGAGCCUUUUAGAACAGGUAUCCAGGGAUUUUACCUCUCCAGUGCUAGGCAGGGUCUAUGCCCAUAACAUCAGCAGGAAGCAGUUACAGAAGAUGAACCUCCGCCCUUCUGCAAGCCCCUUAAGAUUAAGGAGGAGUAUAUAAUCUCUGAUGGGGAAAUGAGGUAGGAGACCAGAAGGACUUAUUUUCCAUUCCCAACCCCAUUGAACAGAGCAGGAUCUGGUCAAAACAGGGUGCAGUGGAGAAGCCUGCUGAAACCAGCAGAUGAUGAUGAAAGUGACCUCUAGUUGCCCUCACUGCUUAUGAGCAUAAAGACACUACCACUGGGACCAUGGCCAGUUUACAAAUGUCAUGGCAACACACCUUGGCAAUGGCCUGGAAGUUACUUUAUAUGGUUCUGGAAACUCCCUGCCCCUUUCCCAGAAAGUUCUGAAUAACCUACCUCUUAAUUGGCAUGCAAUUAAAAGUGGCUCUAAAUACAACUAGCUAGUAGCCCACAGGCACAAACUCUGGGCACACUGCCUAUAGGUUAGCCCUGCUCUGCAAGAAGUAGCACCAGUUCAAUAAAAGUUGCUUUCUCUCACCA
Long non-coding RNA from Homo sapiens (human), 1534 nucleotides. Ensembl annotates it as long intergenic non-protein coding RNA 1138. The record is from Ensembl. Lineage: Eukaryota; Metazoa; Chordata; Mammalia; Primates; Hominidae.